RNAcentral lists this ribosomal RNA (468 nucleotides) under uncultured bacterium. RNAcentral's name for it is "partial 16S ribosomal RNA". It matches the Rfam family "Bacterial small subunit ribosomal RNA", at positions 28 to 507 of the family's 1533-position model. The record is from RNAcentral.
GACGAACGCUGGCGGCGUGCUUAACACAUGCAAGUCGAACGGAAAGGCCCUGCUUUUGUGGGGUGCUCGAGUGGCGAACGGGUGAGUAACACGUGAGUAACCUGCCCUUGACUUUGGGAUAACUUCAGGAAACUGGGGCUAAUACCGCAUAGGAGCUCCUGCUGCAUGGUGUGGGUUGGAAAGUUUCGGCGGUUGGGGAUGGACGCGCGGCUUAUCAGCUUGUUGGUGGGGUAGUGUCUUACCAAGGCUUUGACGGGUAGCCGGCCUGAGAGGGUGACCGGCCACAUUAGGACUGAGAUACGGCCCAGACUCCAACGGGAGGCAGCGGUGGAGAAUAUUACACAAUGGGCGGAAGCCUGAUGCGACAACGCCGCGUGCGGGAAGACGGCCUUCGGGUUGUAAACCGCUUUCGCCUGUGACGAAGCGUGAGUGACGGUAAUGGGUAAAGAAGCACCGGCUAACUACGUG